Molecule: non-coding RNA, 47 nt
Submitted as: unclassified sequences
Source: Rfam
CGGGGACAUGCAGACUCCCCAUUAGACGGUGUUCGUCCAAGCUCUGC